This 476-nucleotide ribosomal RNA is filed under the name uncultured bacterium. RNAcentral describes it as "bacterial SSU rRNA". It matches the Rfam family "Bacterial small subunit ribosomal RNA", at positions 24 to 518 of the family's 1533-position model. The record is from RNAcentral.
UCAGGACGAACGCUGGCGGCGUGCCUAACACAUGCAAGUCGAGCGAGGAGAUCCUCGGGAUGAUCCUAGCGGCGGACGGGUGAGUAACACGUGGGCAACCUGCCUCAUAGAGAGGAAUAGCCUUCCGAAAGGGAGAUUAAUACCUCAUAACAUUGCAGUUUCGCAUGGAACAGCAAUUAAAGGAGUAAUCCGCUAUGAGAUGGGCCCGCGGCGCAUUAGCUAGUUGGUGAGGUAAUGGCUCACCAAGGCGACGAUGCGUAGCCGACCUGAGAGGGUGAUCGGCCACAUUGGGACUGAGACACGGCCCAGACUCCUACGGGAGGCAGCAGUGGGGAAUAUUGCACAAUGGGGGAAACCCUGAUGCAGCCAACGCCGCGUGAGUGAUGACGGCCUUCGGGUUGUAAAGCUCUGUCUUCAGGGACGAUAAUGACGGUACCUGAGGAGGAAGCCACGGCUAACUACGUGCCAGCAGCAGC